CUCUCUCCCCAGGACACCCCACCCCAGCAGGCCCUGAGACCCUCCUUCAUGGACUACUUUGACAAGCAGGACUUAAUAAGGUCCAACAGGAGAGCUAUAACCAUAACCAGCAGCAGGAACCAGGCUAUCACAUCAGCCAGGGCUAAGAACGUCUUCCCUGCAACUGGAAGGUUCCUCAGGACGGAGACUUUGACUUUCUGAAGAACCUUGACUUUGAGGAGCUGCAGCUGCGUCUGACGGCUCUGGACCCCAUGAUGGAGAGAGAGAUCGAGGAGCUGCGUCAGCGCUACACCGCCAAGAGACAACCCAUCCUCGACGCAAUGGACGCCAAGAAACGCAGACAGCAGAACUUCUGAAGAGCCUGAACACAUUCUGACCUGGGCCCGUGUUCAUACAGCGUCUCACAUUCCACAGUGCUGAUCUAGGUGGUCCACUUUCCAUGUAAUCUUAUUCCUUAUGAUCUAAARGGCAGAACUGAUGCUAGAUCAGCACUCUGGCAGCAGAAUGCUGAGGACCUUGGAGAAGUCAUUCUGACCUGGUGCUUUCUGACCUGACCAAGGGAGAGGAGAGACCUGACAGCUGUCUGGAAUUUWAUUCACCCUGUGCUCCUAAAUGUCCUCCAUUUUCUCAUCACCACCCCAGUAGUCAGGAUGACUCCAGUCCACACUAUUUUCCCAUUGCUCAGGACUACUGUAAACAAUUCUUUGCCUCCCCAUCUGUUAAUUAUGAACCUGUAGGUAGCCUUACAUCCCAGAGUAAAAGUUUCCUGAAGAUGUUUCUCCCCUUUUUAAAGCGUCCUUUGACUGCUCAAUACUAGCUGGCUUUCUCCCAGCUCUGCUACUGUUAUUUGGCUCUUGGGAAAGUACCAGCAGUUCUGGAUAAUAUUAAAGCAGUUACUUGUAGACUCUC
Long non-coding RNA from Salvelinus sp. IW2-2015, 909 nucleotides. RefSeq lists it as uncharacterized. Lineage: Eukaryota; Metazoa; Chordata; Actinopteri; Salmoniformes; Salmonidae. The record is from RefSeq and is a predicted model, not a curated record.